This 226-nucleotide unclassified non-coding RNA is filed under the name Hevea brasiliensis (rubber tree). Lineage: Eukaryota; Viridiplantae; Streptophyta; Magnoliopsida; Malpighiales; Euphorbiaceae. The record is from RNAcentral.
AAAGAUUGCAACUUCCAGAGGUCUGGUACACAAUAAGACCAAGGUAGCAGCAACCAUAAGCUGCAUGUAACCAGCAUAAGAAUCAAAUAUAAACCUCAAAUCAUUCUUAGAAGUCAAAAUAAACCAUAAAUAUUAAUUCAACUUGGCUUAACCAAAAACUGAUAAUAUCAUCCAAAAAGAAACACAUACUUUAUCAGCCACCGGAUCCAAAAAUGCACCAAAGGCA